This 392-nucleotide long non-coding RNA is filed under the name Pogona vitticeps (central bearded dragon). RNAcentral's name for it is "lncRNA (ENSPVIG00000001314.1)". Lineage: Eukaryota; Metazoa; Chordata; Lepidosauria; Squamata; Agamidae. The record is from RNAcentral.
CCCAUCCUCUUGUUCACUUGGAACAGCAGUUUACAGUUACCUCAGGAUUUGGAAUGAAAAUGGCUUUCUUCUUUCUCACGACUGCAGGAUGGAACUGUGGCUUCCUCCUGGCAAUGGAACUGCAAUGAGUAAAUUUGAACGCAAGUUGAUUUAGUAUGGUUACUCUCGUUUUGAUUCAAUUUAUAGGGUGAACCUGGCCCACCAGGUCAGAUGGGGUCAACUGGUCCUUUGGGUCCCCGUGGAAUGGCAGGAGAAAGAGGACGCAUAGGACCCCAGGGUGCUCCAGGUGGUCGUGGUUCUCAUGGUAUGCCAGGGAAACCAGGGCCCAUGGUAAGUACCUCACUCCCACUUUUCUUUAUAUUUUCCCCCAACUUGUCCUUUGUGUCAAGUCA